GCCGAUCCGCGCUCCUCUCGGCCGCGGCCCCGCGCCCAGGGGGCGGUCGCCACCACUCCGCACCCGCCUGGGGACGGACUCAGAAGCGGAGUCACCGUCCCCAGGGCUAGCGCCCGCAAGCCGCCCCAGAGGAAGAUAAGCCAAGGGGCCGGGACCAAAAUUGGGAGGAAGUUGAAAGUACGCCUGGUGGGUGUGAGGAACCGAACCAGGCGCGCCGCUGAGCUGCCUGUUGCAUUGUCGGCUUUGAUUCGGUUGCCAGCAUUUCGCCUUUUCCUGUGUCAACACCAGAACGGCUAACCACUCGUUACAGCAAGCAAGCAAGAAUGAAAAGAAAAAAGAGAAAGAAAUGUUCCUGAUGUGUGGAAUUGUGUUUGUGAACACAGCUGGAAAGCACCCCACGGCGGCUCUCCACUCAAGAUCGGCCCUGAGAGAAAAUUCUGCUCAGGAUUAAUCUUUUCAUGUUAACUGUGCAGAGCACAUUUGGAAAGACCCAUUCCUGGUAAAGUGUAUUACUAAAUGGCCAGUUUUAGAAACUAGGGCUGACAAACGUGUCACAGUUGCAGACUCCUGAAAAUGGGCUGGUGUUUAAAACAACAACAAAAAAUCCAGUUUGAUGGUCGAAAGGGGGUAAUUCUAUUCUGUGAGGAAGGUCAUAGUCACUUGGGGACGGGAGGAAGACUGGGAGGUGGAAGGAUCUGCAUAGGGAACAGGCAAGGGGAAAAAGUCAUUAGGGUGGAAGAAAGAAAAAAUUACCUGUUGAAGAACACAUCUUACUCGCCAUGAAUAUGUUAGCUCACCUUGAUACUUGGUCUGGGAAUUGGAAUGGAGAUGGGGCUCCCAAAGGACAAGUUCACAGGGAGUCUAUUUUUCUCAAAUAAGGAGUUCAGCAGUCACAGGUAGGUGGGCUUCUCAGGACCCACCUCCUUCUGUUCUCCAGCCCUUUAUUCCUAGCAUACCAGCUUUCAGUCUACAUGUUCUUUCCCCAUGUAGUCACCAGUCAGGAUUCAACCAGAGAAAAAGAACCACUAUAAGUGAUGAAGAACGACAGAUUUAUUGUUAGGCACCAGAUCUGUGCUGUUCAACAUAGUAGCCACUAGCCACAUGUGGCAGUGUAAAUGAAUUAAGAUGAACUGAGAGUAAAAAUGUAGUUUCUCGGUUGCACUAGGUACACUUCAAGUGCUUGAUAGCCACAUGCAUGUGGCUAGUGGCUAUCGUUGGGCAGCUCAUAUACAAAACAUUUCCAUCAUCACAGAAGUUCUAUUGGAGAAUGAGGCAUCGGACCUUACAUGAUUGUGAGAGCUCAUUGAGAAGUCUGUUCAAAGCUGUUUGAGGUCUUUGAUUCUAGUGUUGAAUGUGAAAUCACCAUAGGUCAGACAGAAUGGCAGUCAGGGUAGAAAGCUAGACCUGGAUAAAAGCAAGUACAGGCUUGGAACCUGCAGGGGCUAACUGGAAUUCAUGAAAAACUAGAAUCCUCUAAGACAGACUGGAUUUGUGUGUGUCCCUCACUACCUCUGACCUUGAUAACAGGCAUACUGCAGAAGAAGCUGGCAUCCUUCAUGGGGCUGCACAUGCACUUGGCUUAGGACACGGAGAAACUGAAGGAGGACACCCGACCAGCAAGGUGAGCCAGCAGAUGAGUGACAAUGUACUAGAGUCACCACUGUGCCUGGAGCCCUUGCAUUGUCCUUCAGAGCAUGAAAACCAUGGCUGCUGCUUCGCCGCUGCCCUCUCAAUCACAUACAGCACUUCUCUUGUGGCUAAUGCUAACCUUGAAACCGUGCAGAAUUCUGGAGAACAGAUCCUGCUCAGCUGAGUUGACCCACUAUAAAGUUACCACACUGCCCCGUGGGUCCAGGCAUGAAGUCUGCAUUGAAAGAGGAAGGUGAGAAAGAGGCAGCUCCUGUGAGCUCUCUCUUGUGCCUGUUUCUUUCAUCAUGAAAGCUAGUUUUCUAGAAACACCUCGGUAGACUUCCCUUUGUGUCUCUUUAGCCAGAACGUGGUAAAUUGGCCACUCCUUAGCUCCAUAGGAAGCUGAGACGAGGGUAUUGGGCAUUUCCAGCUUCUUCCAGAGUAGAGACAGGCAGGGGAAAACGGGCUGGGAGUGGCAUUGGGUUAGUCAGCCUCUUGUCCACUGUUGUGCACAGUGCAUUCCCUACUAUCCCCUCUGUGGAGCCUGAAAGGAAGGGCAAGAACACCCAUUCCAAGUUGCACCCAUUGCAUUUGAAGAAACUGAGGCACAGAAAAGUUGAUGAUCUUACCCAAGGACAUACAAAGUUAGUGCAAAGCUAGGCGUAUGGAAGCCAGACCGCCUCAAUUACAUUACAGACCCCUGCAUAUUGCACACAUUGUCCAUUUAAGGCCAGAAAGGAGUACAUGGCAAGAUACCCAUCCUCAAUACUGCAUUAGAGCUCCCUGGCAAAUCACCCAACACAAUUUAGAUGUUACUUUUUGCCUGACAUAUUGGUGAAAUUUGAAAAGAUUACACAUAUCCAGUAUGACCAGAGAGAGAAAGAGAGAGAGAGAGAGAGAGAGAGAGAGAGAGAGAGAGAGAGAGAGAGAGAGAAAUGGGCUUACUAUUGGUGGAAGUGUGAGUGUGGCUACAGCCUUCUUGGUGAGAAUGGUCUGUUAAUUAUCACAAAUUUUGAAUAUGCUUCAGCCCAGAAAUAAUGUUAAAGAAAUGUACUGCCUCAGGAGACAUAAUCUGACAAAUACACAAAGUUACCAUAUACGCACAGCAGAAAGAAUGUUCGUUAUUGCAAGAAUCUAGAGGACUUCCAUAGAGGACUUGUUUAAUAAAUUUUGAUAUACCUAUGCAAUGGAUUAUAUAGUUGCUGAAAAGGAUGAUAUGUAUCUGUAGUUCUUGAUAAUGAUCUUUACCACAUAUUGAGUUAAAACAUGUAUAUUAUUUCAUUCAUAUAAAAUGAUAUGUAUAAGCAUUUGCAUAGAGCAGCAUCUAGAAGGAUGUUCACCAAAAUGUUAGUAGUAAUUUCUCAGGGCAGUACUUUUUUCUUUAUGCCUGUUUGUUUUGACUGAUUUUUCUAUAAAUAUGUAUUACCUUUAUAUUAGGAAAUGCAAGGAAGCUGCAUUAGAAAAAAUUUUUAGAAAAAAUCACUGGAGGAGACUGUUCUUUCUACUUGGCAGAAAGAAGGGAGUUAGAUGCUAAUGUUUUAAAUUAUCUUCCAGUUCUACCGUUAAGGUCUUGCCAAUUGUUUGAGGCUGAUCGCGAAGAGUGGAGAUGUAUCCUUAUAUUUUUUACAAGGAUUUUUGCAACUGUCCUUAUUUGAAGAUUGGAAAUAAUCACGCAUUUCACACCAUUUCUAAUAAGACGGUGCCCUGCCCUACUUCAAGUGACUGCUUUGACAUUAGAUUUUUGUCAUCCCUUAACACAAUUCUGUCAUCACCAGGAAGUCCCUGUCUUACAAAGGUGGAAACAAAAUGUCAACCAAAGGGUCCAAAAAAACAAAAAAACAAAAAACCUCAAAACGCAGUCAAUAGAAACCAACUUUGAGAUAGGUUCAAAAAAAAUUAAAGGUAACUAACUAUUAAGUGGGCAGGUAGAAUCUUACUGGAGAAAUAGAAACUAUAAAAAAAAAAAAAACGGAGUGGAAAUUCUAGAA
This is a long non-coding RNA of Felis catus (domestic cat), 3617 nucleotides long. RefSeq lists it as uncharacterized. The record is from RefSeq and is a predicted model, not a curated record. The transcript has 2 exons. Lineage: Eukaryota; Metazoa; Chordata; Mammalia; Carnivora; Felidae.